GACGAACGCUGGCGGCGUGCUUAACACUUGCAAGUCGAACGGAAAGGCCCUGCUUUUGUGGGGUGCUCGAGUGGAGAACGGGUGAAUAACACGUGAGUCACCCGCCCUUGACUUUGGAGAUCACUUCAAGAAAGUGGUGCUAAUACCAGAUAGGAGCUUCUGCUGCAUGGGGGGGGAUGGAUAUUUUCGGCGGUUGGGGAUGGACUCCCUGCUUAUUUGUUUGUGGGUGGGGGACUGCCUUACCAAGGCAUUGACCGCCAGCCGGAAUGAGAGGGUGACCGGUUUGAUUGGGACUUAGACACAGCCCCCACUCCUACGGGAGGGAGGAGAUUUUUUAUAUUGUUGCAUGGGCCGAAGCCAGAUCCACCCCCGGCGGGGAGAAGGACGUCCGCGUUGUAAACCUCUUUCGCUUUAGACUAUGAUUUUUUGGGAGUGACCUUAAUGGAAAAAGAAGCAUCUGCUUAUUACCCGCCCGCAUAUGAAAUGAGACGGAAGGUGCCAGCGCUGAUCUGAUUCUAUUAGCAGUCUCGUCUUUGAUUUGUUUGAUCGCCUCAUAACUUUAAUCUUGUCCCUUCUGCGUGAGCGUGCUUUCGAUACGGGUUGACUUGAGGAAGGUAGGGGAGAAUGGAAUUUCCUGGUGGAGCGGUGGAAUGCGCAGAUAUCAGGAGGAACACCAGUGGCGAAGGCGGUUCUCUGGCCUUUUCCUGACGCUGAGGAGCGAAAGCGUGGGGAGCGAACAGGCUUAGAUACCCUGGUAGUCCACGCUGUAAACGGUGGGUACUAGGUGUGGGGUCCAUUCCACGGGUUCCGUGCCGUAGCUAACGCUUUAAGUACCCCGCCUGGGGAGUACGGCCGCAAGGCUAAAACUCAAAGGAAUUGACGGGGCCCCGCACAAGCGGCGGAGCAUGCGGAUUAAUUCGAUGCAACGCGUAGAACCUUACCUGGGUUUGACAUGGAUCGGGAGUGCUCAGAGAUGGGUGUGCCUCUUUUGGGGUCGGUUCACAGGUGGUGCAUGGCUGUCGUCAGCUCGUGUCGUGAGAUGUUGGGUUAAGUCCCGCAACGAGCGCAACCCUUGUUCACUGUUGCCAGCACGUUAUGGUGGGGACUCAGUGGAGACCGCCGGGGUCAACUCGGAGGAAGGUGGGGAUGACGUCAAGUCAUCAUGCCCCUUAUGUCCAGGGCUUCACGCAUGCUACAAUGGCUGGUACAGAGAGUGGCGAGCCUGUGAGGGUGAGCGAAUCUCGGAAAGCCGGUCUCAGUUCGGAUUGGGGUCUGCAACUCGACCUCAUGAAGUCGGAGUCGCUAGUAAUCGCAGAUCAGCAACGCUGCGGUGAAUACGUUCCCGGAACG
RNAcentral lists this ribosomal RNA (1350 nucleotides) under uncultured bacterium. RNAcentral's name for it is "bacterial SSU rRNA". It matches the Rfam family "Bacterial small subunit ribosomal RNA", at positions 28 to 1381 of the family's 1533-position model. The record is from RNAcentral.